CCGCUGCCAGUGCCCGUGUGCGUCUGUUUAUCAGGCAGAAAGGCAAAUAAAUGCAGGACAAGGGGGAGCUGAGCCACAGCAGCCUGUGCACGGGUGGCUGCUCCCAUCCCGGCUCCAGCUUUGUCAAGCCUGGCAAGAGUUUGCUCUGUGCACAGCCCUACCUUCAGGUACAGAAAACAUCCGAGAAGCAGCAAGCUGUGGUUGGUGCAGACUGAGGACCAUCUGUGGGGCUGGGAAUUGCUGUGCCGAGGUGCAGAUGUGGGGGGGGACCAUCCUCCUGACCCCUCCUGGCCUUGCCUUUAGUGCUGAAGCGUAGGGAGGGAUGCUUUAAACAGGAAACCCUGAGCACCUCUGCUAAGUCACCUUCCUGAAGCGAUGCAGGCUGGGGCUCUGGUACCGAUUUCUGUAGUGCAAGCAGGCUUUGCUUGCCCACAGGUAAAGCCCAUCCUGCUUGUGCAGAUGUGAUUUUUCCAACAUCAGGAGCAAGCCGAGCAGGUACCCACACGCACUGUGGCUUUCCAAGCACCAAGCAGCGUUUGGUGCACCCCGCUGCUCCCUGGUAGGCUGGAGCCAGGCUGGAGGUGCAGUUAUGUUCCCACAUCCCUUCCUUCCUUGUACGUCUGCCCCCAGGGAGAUCUGUUUGCCUCCUUCUUCCUCACCUAGUCGUUAAUCUCUUCCUACACGGAGGCAGGUUUCCCGCCUGCGUGCGCUGAGCAGGCCUGUUUGCCAUCGACGGCUGACGCAGCGCUCAGGAAUUCGCUGGGUGGCUGGCAGCACAUCUGGACUUGCCCCGUGCACGGCGCUGCGUGGCUGCGUCCCGGUCAGGUAUGCAGCGAGGGAGGCUCCCCCUGCUCCGGCACACACCUGCGCCACGCCGGGGAGUGGCCGGCAGCUCCCCCGAGCCCUGCGUCGGCUCCUGCCCUUCUCAGUGCUGAGCUGGAGCGGGGUCGGGGAAGAUGGGAGCGCCAGUGUGAGCUGGUACAUCACGGCAUGUGUGUGGCUGUACGGCAGGAGAGCUGCAGCCAUUCCCUUCCCAAGGUCGGCGUGGGAAACCAUCCUGGGUACAGCAUUAGCGUGCACGUCCCUGCGCGCACACGCUGCCCCAGCAGCAGUGCACGGGGAGGCAGGUGGGCCCAGCAGGACCCCCAGGAACGAGAGGACAGCAGGUCCUCAGGGGCAGGGACUAAACCAGUCUCAAACUGGUCUGUGCACCCAUCAGCCGGUGGCUCCCCGUGGGACCGGGCUCGUGUCCCACGGACGGUCACGCCACGGUUGCCAGCCUUUGGCAUGACUUGAGGAGAGCAGCUGGGGCUCGGCGCUGGGGUUUGCUUUGCUCCCACUGCGGGAGCCUGGCCGGCGCCAUGUGAACGGGCAGGCGGUGUGAACCGGCGCAGCGAGGUCUGCUGCAGCCCUGCCUUCCACCGGCGUGCGCCCGGAUCCCAGCCCUCAGCUCCCACUGUCAGGGCAUUUGACACUGAGCAAAAAUAGUUACGCUGGGGUGGAGCACGGGAGAAGCGAGGUUUUAGCUCUGCACAAACCACAGGGCUUUGAUUUAUGGAGCUGGCGCUCGGCAGACAGGAUCCACCCCCCUGCUUUUUUUAAUAUUGUUUCCUGGCAGCUUAGUUGGUUUCUCUGCUGAUUUGAGCAACGCUCCCACAAUCCUGCGGGUGCCUCGUUGCCUUGAAAGCAGUCAGCUGGAAUUUGCUAUUUUAGGACCUAAAAAUUGAAGAGAGGAAGAGGAAGAAGGAAAAGGAGAAGGAGAAGAAAGUGUAUUCAUGGGAGAACAGAGGAACGGUUUAUCAGGAUUUCACUCAAGGGGAAAAAGCACAAAAAAUAAAUUAUGAUUCAUUUUCAGUUGAGCGGAGCUUCGUGUUUCUAUAGUAAGUCGUAACAAAACAAGGCGGCAAAGCCAAGCAGUUAUUUGUACCAGAUGGGCCAGCGGUUGUAUCUGCAGCUUUUCAGGAAUCAUCCUGACUUGGGCAGAUUUUGCAGCCAGGAGCUCAGGAGUUCACCCAUCACGGAGGGGUCAGGGUGGCGGGGGGGGCCACAACCCCGCUGUGUCCCUCGGCUCUCCCUGGCUGGCUGGGGGGGGGGCUGCGGACCCCCAGCUUGUAUUGCCGCCCCGUCGGCCUUGUGCUGGAGCGGGUCCUCCUGGGCUGAAACUCGUCCUCCCCGGCUCAUCCGUCCCGUUCAUGUCAGCGCUCGCCCCGUCUGCCGUGUCCUCGCCCCCGCAAACGGGUCUGACUACGUGGCGUUGCCUCACCUCUCCGAGUCACCUGGAAGCUUUCCCAGGGCAAGGGAGCCCCGGAGAGUAAUAGCAAAGGACCCUCACGGAGAUUUGGGUUAUUGAGGAGUGAGGGGAGAGCACCCAGCCCCUGCCCGUGCGGGGGGGCGCUCGGGCAGAUGCCCGCCUGCAUCCCAGGGCAGGGGGCUGUCCUGCCAGUGUGGUGAUGAAAUACCAGCAACUUGUUUCCUUGGGGUAAAUUGGAGCAGCGAGUGGAUGAGAUGCUCGAGUCUGGCACCUCCGGCUGCUGCUGGCAGUGCCAGGACCGGCACAGGUAGUGGAGCUAUGAAGCAAUAUUGGAAGAGUGAGGCAAGCCUGGGAAAAGGAAAUGAACCCACAGAAUGCUCUGGAGGGUUGGAGGGCUCAGAUGGUACCCGGAGGAACAGGAUGAGGAUGCUGACAGAAUAAAUAGUACCUUUAUUUUUGCACAUUAAUUUUAAACAGCGAUACAGGCACCAGACGUGAAGGCAAGGCGGGAGGUGCUGGUGGCACAGGGAAGGGGUAUCCCUCGUGCUGGGGCCGGCGGCCGGGCAGGCUGGGCCAGGCUGUGCCCAGCGCAGGG
Non-coding RNA from Phalacrocorax carbo (great cormorant), 2846 nucleotides. Lineage: Eukaryota; Metazoa; Chordata; Aves; Suliformes; Phalacrocoracidae. The record is from RefSeq and is a predicted model, not a curated record.